RNAcentral lists this long non-coding RNA (1140 nucleotides) under Equus caballus (horse). RNAcentral's name for it is "lncRNA (ENSECAG00000048045.1)". The record is from RNAcentral. Lineage: Eukaryota; Metazoa; Chordata; Mammalia; Perissodactyla; Equidae.
CUUUUAAACUCUUCCUUAAGAGGCAAAAAAGUGUGUUGCUGUGUGUGUAUGUGAUUUAAUUAAAUUAAGAUUUUUUUUCUUUUCAGGGACCUUCCCAAAAUGUUAGAAGAAGGGUAGAAAAACAUUUGCAACUUGUGUUUCACUUGGUGAACGAGUCAGGAACUGUUUGUGCACAAAUAAUCCAACAUCAGCCUAAGUUUUUCGGCUGUGUUUUCGAAAGAACAAGAAAAGAUUUUGCUUCCAGUUCCUGCACAUUACAUUUCCUAUUCAGCACCACUUUCUUUUCAUUCUUUCUGUCAUUAAUCUGUUCAUUUUGGAAGAAUAAGUAAUUAAACAGUUUUGAAAAAUUUUUGUGUGCUUGUGUAUGUGUGAUAUGUUGUUGGAGCAUCUACAAGAGCAGUAAAAAUACUUGUCCAAACCCUUGCUAUGCAUGUCAUGAAUGUUUUGAAGGCAGGAAACCAUACAGUCCUAUUUUAAGAAAUUCUAUUUAUUUUUAAGUCAAAUAAAUUUUUUCCUCCUCUUUAAAGUACCUGACUUUAAAAGCAAGAGAAGUUUUACGGCAUUGAUUUAUAGAAAAAAACUACAACAACAAUGCUUCCAGUAGAUUGAGGUUUGAAUACCACAGCUCUUGGAGACAUAGAGAUCUAGGGCUUAAUUUUGAGUUAACUUAUGUUUUCACCUACUUAUUUGCUGACUUCUUAAACAUGUUAAUUUUUCAUGUAUUUCUAUUUCCUUCAGUAUAAUUACAUCAUCUCCUUAACCAGGAGAAUGGCUGUCUGCUCCUCAGAUCUGUAUCAUUAAUGAAGAUCUUUGUGUGUUGUGUUUCCUUGGUACAGAAAGCUUCAGGGCAGGAGUGACAGAAGAGAAAUGCCUACUUGGUUCCAGGCAAUACUAAGUUAUAUGGCAGCAUUUAAAAUAGAAGCAGAAUGCACCAGAUACUCAAGAAACAAAAUAAAUGAAGUGAGCAUCUGUUACAACACAUUUAGAGCAAAGAAAGACUUCUGCUGGACGUCCUGGCAGCAAGCUGUGCAAGUUGAAGCGGAAUCUGAUUGAGGAUGCUUCCAUAGCAUGGCCAAUGAGUGGAGUGAAUCCGUGCCAGGGAUCUGAACCUGUGAACCCGGCCUCCAAACUAGAACGCGG